RNAcentral lists this ribosomal RNA (118 nucleotides) under uncultured bacterium. Its description in RNAcentral is "partial 16S ribosomal RNA". It matches the Rfam family "Bacterial small subunit ribosomal RNA", at positions 389 to 524 of the family's 1533-position model. The record is from RNAcentral.
CAGCCAUGCCGCGUGAGUGAAGAAGGCCUUCGGGUUGUAAAGCUCUUUCAGAUGCGAAGAUGAUGACGGUAACAUCAGAAGAAGCCCCGGCUAAUUUCGUGCCAGCAGCCGCGGUAAU